AUUGAACGCUGGCGGCAGGCCUAACACAUGCAAGUCGAACGGUAACAGGAAGCAGCUUGCUGCUUUGCUGACGAGUGGCGGACGGGUGAGUAAUGUCUGGGAAACUGCCUGAUGGAGGGGGAUAACUACUGGAAACGGUAGCUAAUACCGCAUAACGUCGCAAGACCAAAGAGGGGGACCUUCGGGCCUCUUGCCAUCGGAUGUGCCCAGAUGGGAUUAGCUAGUAGGUGGGGUAACGGCUCACCUAGGCGACGAGCCCUAGCUGGUCUGAGAGGAUGACCAGCCACACUGGAACUGAGACACGAUCCAGACUCCUACGGGAGGCAGCAGUGGGGAAUAUUGCACAAUGGGCGCAAGCCUGAUGCAGCCAUGCCGCGUGUAUGAAGAAGGCCUUCGGGUUGUAAAGUACUUUCAGCGGGGAGGAAGGAAGUAAAGUUAAUACCUUUGCUCAUUGACGUUACCCGCAGAAGAAGCACCGGCUAACUCCGUG
RNAcentral lists this ribosomal RNA (490 nucleotides) under uncultured bacterium. RNAcentral's name for it is "partial 16S ribosomal RNA". It matches the Rfam family "Bacterial small subunit ribosomal RNA", at positions 30 to 507 of the family's 1533-position model. The record is from RNAcentral.